AGGUCCAAGUUAUUAAGGGCGCAUGGUGGAUGCCUUGGUAUCUGGAGGCGAAGAAGGCCGUGGUAGGCUGCGUAAAGCGUCGGAUAGGUGCGAACAACCUUUGACCCGGCGAUUGCCGAAUGGGGAAACCCACCCUGAAGAAAUUCAGGGUAUUCUAUUCUUUGAAUAGAAGGUUAACCGAGGGAAGUGACACAUCUCAGUACCUUGAGGAAAAGAUAUUCCGAAAGUAGCGGCGAGCGAAAUCGGAACAGCCUAAACCGAACUGUAUGUUCAAGCGGGCAAGCGUUGUACAGUCGGUGUCGUGGGAUUCAAUCGAAUCUAAUUGCUCUGAGGAUUGUGAAGUUACAAAGUCCUGGUAUAGUUGAAUUCUCCUGGAAAGGGAAACCAUAGAUGGUGAUAGUCCAGUAAACGAAAUCUCAGGGAUCUUCAUUGAUUGAUUUCCCAAGUACUGCGAGAUAGGUUAUCUCGUAGGAAUCUGCCCAAACCACUGGGUAAGGCUAAAUACUCCCAGAUGACCGAUAGUGAACUAGUACCGUGAGGGAAAGGUGAAAAGGACCCCUGGCGGGGAGUGAAAUAGAACCUGAAACUAUGCGUCUACAAUCAGCAGGAAUUUCGAUCCCUUGGAAGCAAUUCUGAGGGGCAAUCGAAAUGACUGCGUGCCUUUUGCAUAAUGAGCCGGCGAGUUACCCUAACCUGCUAGCUUAAUUCCUCUACGAAAGUAGCGGAAGGAGGCGUAGGGAAACCGAGUCUGAAUAGGGCGAUUUAGUAGGUUGGGAUAUUACCCGAAACCCAGUGAGCUACCCAUGGUCAGGAUGAAAUUCCGGUGACACGGAAUGGAGGUCCGAACCGGUGGAUGUUGAAAUAUCCUCGGAUGAACUGUGGGUCGGAGUGAAAGGCUAAUCAAACUGGGUAAUAUCUGGUUCUCCCCGAAAUGCCUUUAGGGGCAGUCUUGGGUGUUCAAUAAUAGUGGUAGAGCUCUGAAUAGAGGAGGACCUUUCGGGGUUCAAAUCCAAUCAAACUUCGAAUGCUAUUACUUAUAAACCCAGGAAUGAGGCAGUGAGGGAUAAGCCCCAUUGCCGAAAGGGGAAUAACCCUGACCGUCAGCUAAGGUCCCUAAGAAUUGAUUAAGUGGUAAAGGAUGUAAGGUGACUUAAACACCUGGGAUGUUGGCUUAGAGGCAGCCAUCAUUUAAAGAAAGCGUAACAGCUCACCAGCCGAGCCGCUUUGCGCCGAAAAUAUACCGGGGCUCAAAUCAAUCACCGAAGCUGCGGCUCAGUAUCUCGCUUUGCGAGAAUACUGGGGGUAGGGGAGCGUUCCAUUGUAGGUUGAAGUUCUGACGUGAGUCAGAAUCGACGAAAUGGAAGUGAUCAUGCCGGCAUAAGUAGCGAUAAUCUCGGUGAAAAACCGAGACACCGAAAGCCCAAGGAUUCCUGGGGAAGGUUAAUCCGCCCAGGGUUAGUCGGUACCUUAGCCGAGGCCGAAAGGCGUAGGCGAUGGAAAAGCCGUUAAUAUUCGGCUACCAUCUUAGUUUCGUUAUGAACUAUGGGGGGACGCUGAUAGUAGAGGUGGGUCCUGUGUUGGAAUACAGGAUCUAAACACUCCAAGGGAGACGCCAGGCAAAUCCAGUGUCUCUUAACCUUGAAGUGUGAUGGGGAGACCCAAAAGGUCAUAAACCCACCUCGAGAUUCAGCCGAGAAAAGCCUCUAUGUCAGAAACUAAGGUGACCGUACCGGAAACGGACACACGUGGGCGAGGUGAAUAUCCUAAGGUGCUCGGGUGAAUCCUCGUUAAGGAACUCGGCAAUUUAGCCCCGUAACUUCGGAAGAAGGGGUCCCACACACGUAUGCAAAUAGGUGUGUGGGCGCAGUGAAAGGGCUCUAGCGACUGUUUAACAAAAACACAGGUCUCUGCUAAGCCGUAAGGCAAAGUAUAGGGACUGACACCUGCCCGGUGCCAGAAGGUUAAAGAAGGUUGUUAAUCUCGGGAUGGACUUCGGUUUAGCCCGGGAUCAAGCUCCCGACUGAAGCCCUGGUAAACGGCGGUCGUAACUCUAACGAUCCUAAGGUAGCGAAAUUCCUUGGCGGGUAAGUUCCGUCCUGCACGAAUGGUGCAACGACUAGAGCGCUGUCUCAACGAGGAGCCCGGCGAAAUUGAAGUGGCGGUGAAGAUGCCGCCUUCCCGUGAUAGGACAAAAAGACCCCGUGAACCUUUACUGCAACUUGCUAUUGAAUUUUUGUGAAGCAUGUGUAGCAUAGGUGGGAGGCUUUGAAAUUUCGGCGCUAGCCGGGAUGGAGCCAACAGUGAAAUACCACCCUUGUUUUAUCAGAGGUUCUAAUCCUGCCUUUGUACGGCGGGAGACAGUGGCAGGCGGGCAGUUUGACUGGGGCGGUCGCCUCCUAAAAUGUAACGGAGGCGCCCAAAGGUUCCCUCAGUCCGGUCGGUAAUCGGACAUUGAGUGUAAGGGCACAAGGGAGCCUGACUGUGAGGCCGACGGGCCGAGCAGAGCGGAAACGCGGGCCUAAUGAUCUGGUGGUUCUGUGUGGAAAGGCCAUCACUCAACGGAUAAAAGGUACUCCGGGGAUAACAGGCUGAUCGGGCUCGAGAGUUCAUAUCGACGGCCCGGUUUGGCACCUCGAUGUCGGCUCAUCGCAUCCUGGGGCUGGAGAAGGUCCCAAGGGUUGGUCUGUUCGCCCAUUAAAGCGGUACGUGAGCUGGGUUCAGAACGUCGUGAGACAGUUCGGACUCUACCCAUCACGGGCGCAGGAGACUUGAAGGGAGCUGUUCUUAGUACGAGAGGACCAGAAUGGACGAACCUCUGGUUUACGAGUUGUUGCGCCAGCAGCAGUGCUCGGUAGCUAUGUUCGGAAGGGAUAACCGCUGAAAGCAUCUAAGUGGGAAGCCCCCCCUAAGAUAAGGUCUCCCGUUCCUUCACAGGCAACUGUGAGAAACCAUAAGACAACCUGGAGACUACAGGUUUGAUAGGCCAUAGGUGUAAGUGCAGUAAUGUAUUGAGCCAAGUGGUACUAAUCAGUCGAGCGACUUGGAUUUC
RNAcentral lists this ribosomal RNA (3049 nucleotides) under Candidatus Stahliibacteriota bacterium. RNAcentral's name for it is "bacterium (Candidatus Stahlbacteria) 23S ribosomal RNA". It matches the Rfam family "Bacterial large subunit ribosomal RNA". Lineage: Bacteria; Candidatus Stahliibacteriota. The record is from RNAcentral.